This 253-nucleotide ribosomal RNA is filed under the name uncultured bacterium. RNAcentral describes it as "partial 16S ribosomal RNA". It matches the Rfam family "Bacterial small subunit ribosomal RNA", at positions 524 to 776 of the family's 1533-position model. The record is from RNAcentral.
UACGUAGGGUGCAAGCGUUGUCCGGAAUUAUUGGGCGUAAAGAGCUCGUAGGCGGUUUGUCGCGUCUGGUGUGAAAAUCCAGGGCUUAACCCUGGACCUGCAUCGGGUACGGGCAGACUAGAGUGCGGUAGGGGAGAUCGGAAUUCCUGGUGUAGCGGUGAAAUGCGCAGAUAUCAGGAGGAACACCGGUGGCGAAGGCGGCCUGCUGGGCAGUUACUGACACUGAGGCGCGACAGCGUGGGGAGCAAACAGG